ACACUCCUGCGGGAGGCAGCAGUGGGGAAUUUUGGACAAUGGGCGAAAGCCUGAUCCAGCAAUGCCGCGUGUGUGAAGAAGGCCUUCGGGUUGUAAAGCACUUUUGUCCGGAAAGAAAUCCUUGGCUCUAAUACAGUCGGGGGAUGACGGUACCGGAAGAAUAAGCACCGGCUAACUACGUGCCGGCAGCCGCGGUAAUACGUAGGGUGCGAGCGUUAAUCGGAAUUACUGGGCGUAAAGCGUGCGCAGGCGGUUUGCUAAGACCGAUGUGAAAUCCCCGGGCUCAACCUGGGAACUGCAUUGGUGACUGGCAGGCUAGAGUAUGGCAGAGGGGGGUAGAAUUCCACGUGUAGCAGUGAAAUGCGUAGAGAUGUGGAGGAAUACCGAUGGCGAAGGCAGCCCCCUGGGCCAAUACUGACGCUCAUGCACGAAAGCGUGGGGAGCAAACAGGAUUAGAUACCCUUGUAGUCCCAUGA
Molecule: ribosomal RNA, 476 nt
Filed under: uncultured organism
Description: partial 16S ribosomal RNA
Rfam family: Bacterial small subunit ribosomal RNA
Source: RNAcentral